This 205-nucleotide ribosomal RNA is filed under the name uncultured bacterium. RNAcentral's name for it is "partial 16S ribosomal RNA". It matches the Rfam family "Bacterial small subunit ribosomal RNA", at positions 29 to 222 of the family's 1533-position model. The record is from RNAcentral.
AGCGAACGCUGGCGGCGUGCUUAACACAUGCAAGUCGAGUGCGUAGCCCUUUGUAGCAAUACAGAGGGUGGGCGCACGGCGCACGGGGUGAGUAACACGUGGGUAACCUGCCCUUCGGUGGGGAAUAACCCGCGAAAGCGGGGCGUAAUUCCGCAUAACAUUCCGGGGACACAUGUUCUCGGACUCAAAGGAGUGAUUCGCCGGA